This 238-nucleotide ribosomal RNA is filed under the name uncultured bacterium. RNAcentral's name for it is "partial 16S ribosomal RNA". It matches the Rfam family "Bacterial small subunit ribosomal RNA", at positions 96 to 334 of the family's 1533-position model. The record is from RNAcentral.
UGGCGGACGGGUGAGUAACGCGUGGGUAACCUGCCUCAUACAGGGGGAUAACGGUUAGAAAUGACUGCUAAUACCGCAUAAGCGCACAGUACCGCAUGGUACGGUGUGAAAAACUCCGGUGGUAUGAGAUGGACCCGCGUCUGAUUAGGUAGUUGGUGAGGUAACGGCCCACCAAGCCGACGAUCAGUAGCCGACCUGAGAGGGUGACCGGCCACAUUGGGACUGAGACACGGCCCAG